GGCUGGUCCGAUGGUAGUGGGUUACCACUUAUUAACAUUAGGGUCACUAAAGUUGGUAUACAACUCCCCACUGCCAAAUUUGACUGGCUUUUA
This is a Y RNA of Cervus hanglu yarkandensis (Yarkand deer), 93 nucleotides long. It matches the Rfam family "Y RNA". Rfam says of the family: Y RNAs are components of the Ro ribonucleoprotein particle (Ro RNP), in association with Ro60 and La proteins. The record is from Ensembl. Lineage: Eukaryota; Metazoa; Chordata; Mammalia; Artiodactyla; Cervidae.